This 255-nucleotide ribosomal RNA is filed under the name Triticum aestivum (bread wheat). RNAcentral describes it as "partial small subunit ribosomal RNA". The record is from RNAcentral. Lineage: Eukaryota; Viridiplantae; Streptophyta; Magnoliopsida; Poales; Poaceae.
AUGCUUGUUGCAACAAAGAAGCAUGUUCUUUAUGAUUUGGUCUACUUACUCAUCAAAUUGAUAUUGAUUUUACCGGUGGCAACGGCGAGUGUUGAAAGAGUGUUUUCAGUAAUGAAUCUAGUGAAAAAUAAGUUGAGGGCUACUAUGAGUGAUGACCGCUUGGUGACAUUUAUUGAACGGGAUGUGUUCAUGGAAGUAAGCGAAGAUGACAUAGUUGAUGCUUUCAUGACAAUGCAAAAACGUAGAGUUACCUAG